This 106-nucleotide transfer RNA is filed under the name Curvularia clavata. It matches the Rfam family "tRNA". From Rfam's summary of the family: Transfer RNA (tRNA) molecules are approximately 80 nucleotides in length. Lineage: Eukaryota; Fungi; Ascomycota; Dothideomycetes; Pleosporales; Pleosporaceae. The record is from Rfam by way of RNAcentral.
GCAUCGGUGGUUUAGUGGUAAAAUUAGCCGUUGCCAUCUAGCUGUUCAAUCCAAAGAACAGUAAGACAGUUUCGGCUAGCCCCGGGUUCGAUUCCCGGCCGAUGCA